This 436-nucleotide ribosomal RNA is filed under the name uncultured bacterium. RNAcentral describes it as "bacterial SSU rRNA". It matches the Rfam family "Bacterial small subunit ribosomal RNA", at positions 355 to 786 of the family's 1533-position model. The record is from RNAcentral.
UGAGGAAUAUUGGUCAAUGGUCGGGAGACUGAACCAGCCAAGCCGCGUGAGGGAUGAAGGUGCUAAGCAUUGUAAACCUCUUUUGUCAGGGAACAAAGGCAUCCACGAGUGGAUGUGUGAGUGUACCUGAAGAAAAAGCAUCGGCUAACUCCGUGCCAGCAGCCGCGGUAAUACGGAGGAUGCGAGCGUUAUCCGGAUUUAUUGGGUUUAAAGGGUGCGUAGGCGGCCUGUUAAGUCAGCGGUAAAAGCCCGGGGCUCAACCCCGGCGAGCCGUUGAAACUGGCUGGCUGGAGUUGGCGAGAGGUAUGCGGAAUGCGCGGUGUGCAGGCGGUGAAAUGCUUAGAUAUCGCGCAGAACUCCGAUUGCGAAGGCAGCAUGCCGGCGCCAUACUGACGCUGAGGCACGAAAGCGUGGGGAUCAAACAGGAUUAGAUACC